Molecule: long non-coding RNA, 6580 nt
Filed under: Equus caballus (horse)
Lineage: Eukaryota; Metazoa; Chordata; Mammalia; Perissodactyla; Equidae
Description: lncRNA (ENSECAG00000057610.1)
Source: RNAcentral
GUCAUGAGCAAGCCACCAGCUCUGCUGCUGGGCAAUGCCACCAGGGCAGGCUGGGGCACCCAGGGUGACCUCUCUCCUCGGGAAUGAAGGAAGGGUACCCAGCCUGCCUCCCUGGCGAGGUCAUCACGCUGGUCUCCUGCCUGACCUCUCCCACCUGUUUGCCUUGAGGGGAAGCAGCCAAGCCGCAGGCGGAGCGGGGCCCACAGGCCAGCCUGCCUGCCACACCUGCGUGCCCGCCUCACCUGCCGCCCCUGCCGGCCCUGCAGCAUUCCCUCCCCAGGGAGGAGCUGACCUCUGGCUGCCUGAUGCAGGAGGCCUCUGCCGUGAGUCACAGGGGCGCCUUGGGCAGGGAUGGGCUGGUCCAGGGGCUCGGCUGUGGGGCCUCGGCAUCACCCCCAACUCUAGACGGAUCCUGCCCCCUGGCUGUUUUUGCAUGAAAAAUAAAGCCUUCUCUGAUUCCUUCACCCAGACAGAGCCACUGCUAACGUUUUGGUGUAUUUCCUUCUGGUCUUCUCACCACACGCAGCCGUGCACAGACUGUUUUAUAAAGAUGAAAUCAGACACACAGACUGGUUAGAAGCAUGAGGAACAUUUCCCCAGGAGACCUAAAAUCUCUAACAGCUUUACUGAGAUAUAAUCAAUAUACCAGAAAUUCUCCCGUGUGAAAGUGUGCAAUUCAAUGGUUUCAGCGAAUUUACAGAGUUGUGCGCUCAUUACCGUAAUCUACUUCCAGAACAUUUUCGUUGCCCCAAAAGAACCCUGUACCCAUUAGCAGUCACUCCCCACCUCCCUCCCUCCCCCAGCCCUACGCAACCACCCAUCUUCUGUUUGUCUCUGUAGAUUUGUCUAUUCCGGACAUUCCGUACAAACGGAGUCACCCAAAGGUCCUUCGGAUCCUUGGUAUUUUUUGAAACUCCAUAUUAAACGGGCGCGCAGUGUUCCGAUCUGCGGAUGCACCGUGUUUCUUUGUUGGGUAUUUCGCUUGUCUCGAGCAUUACUGGGCUUUGGGAGGACCACCCAGCCGUGCGCAGCCACUGGAAGAUCUCCUGGUGGGAUUAUAAAAGAUGAGGCGGAAUGCGCAGCGCCCUCCCCUGUCUUGGUACCCAGCACAGGGGCUCAGUGGAAGAGUGUGAUGUCACUCGCUUUUCUCCAGAGGACAGGGAUCCCCUCCUUGGCUCAUGCUGGUACCCCUAGUGCUGUCAGUAUUGGCCCAUAGCGGGGGUCAACGAAUGUUGAAUGACAACACACAGACCUGGGCUGUCGCCUCUCCAGCAGGAGGUGCCCUGCCUACAGGAAGCCCACGCUCGGGAUGGGUCUACCGCUCCUCUUCCAGAACCCGACAGAAUGCUCCCAGGACGGCCUUUCUGACAGGGACUCUUCAUUUGCUGACGUGGGAGAUGAUUACUGGACGGAGACACCCGGAUCAGGUGGAAAAGGUGAGCCAUGUAGCCUGGAAGGAGAAUUUACCGUAUGAUCAAACCCAAGCCAAGACAAAGCUGGGCUGAGCUGCCCGGCAACAGGAGUGGGGUUUUCACGGGUCUUGUCACCUGAUUCUAAAAGGCACUUUCCCACAUAUUCCCAGCCAUGGUGGACCACUGUGGAUGUCCCCAAAAGGCUGGUUCCCAGGGGACUCUGUACCAGCGGGUCUGUGGGAAGUGCAGCUGAGACCUUUGGGGUUCUGUGUCAUCUUCCCUCCUGCAGAUCGGGGUCAGGGGGCAGCUCUGGCCCUGGGCGCAGAUCCCCCUACUCUCUGGCUGGACGCUGCUCAGGGUCCCUGGAAGGUCCCUUCCUUUGCAAAUGCUCCGUGUGUCACUGACCCGCUGUGGAAAGGCAUUUGCCUAGAUGCUGCUGUGGGGGGCGGGGGGAGGGGGGGGCGAGGACAGGUGAAGCCAGGAGCUGCCAGCCCAGAAAUAGAAUCAUAUGAAGUGUGGAGUUGCGUGUCUGGUCUCUCUCACUAGCAGUGACUCAUUCAUGCUGUUGCACACAUCAGCACGUCAUUCCUUUUUAUGGGUGAAUAAUACUCUGCUGUACGGACACACGUUAUCCAUCAUCUGCUGAUGGACACUUGGGUUGUUACCAGGACACACCCUGAGUGCUCUUACCUGCUUGCUCCUGCCAGACCUUGCCAUGGGGACAGAGUCCAUCCCCACCACCCACUUUGGAAAUCCUGUCUAUUCCAGCCCAGGUCAAAAGACUUGCUUCCCCAAAGCUUUCAUGGGUGCCCCUGUCCCUUGCUUGCCCCCACAGAGUGGGUUCAUGCCUCCCUUUGCAUCCUUGUACUGGGCAGUUGAUCUGUGUCAUUAGUGCUCCUGACACCUCCCCUCCACAUGCUGUGUGGCCAGGGUCCAGCCCAGCCAGCACACGUGGUGAGCGGAUGACCCAUGGGCCACCAUAGGGCUGAGUCAGGGUGACCCUACCGGGAAGGCUCUCCUUUUCUGCCAACCUAGGGCGCUGGGGAGAGAGACAAAUCUGGGUGGUGGUGGUGGGUCCAUUCUCUAGAUCAGAGGUGGCCUACUUUUCCCAGAAGGGGGCCAUUUAAAGUCAUAGAUAGUCACAGGCCUGCUUGCAAGACAGUGGCACUUUCAGCAUCCGAUAAAGACAGACCCACUCUGAAUUCCCAAAAAGUCUGAGAGGAAUUUGCAUUCUAUGACAGCAGUAUGGAGAGGGCUGGAAGCGGUGGAAGGAAUCUUUGAUGUACGAAUAACCGCGGGCUGGGGACUGGGCAGAUCUUCAUCCGUACUUGUGGGCACUGGACUCCCGGGGGCUUUCUGAACCUACCCACGCGAGGAUUUCGCUGUAGCCCCUAGAGGUGGAUGCCACAGGCUGGGAUGGCCAUUCAGGACAGGGGAGGGGACCUGCCAUGGCAGCCUCUGCCAGCUCCCCUGGGCCGGGUCUUCAGGGGGAGGAGGACUAAGGGCUCCAAUGUGCCCUCAGGAGACGCCCUGCUCUCAGCUCCAGUACGUGGCUGGCUGGGCCCCCUGUUUCCAGAGUUCACCAUCCAGGGGCUAGGCACACAGGGGCGCCGCCCCCCCACCCCCCCAGUUGCCCCUGCUCCUGGGGAAGUGAAACAGCCCGGGGCCCUGGUGGAACCUCCUGGCUGCACCUGGCAGCCGAUCCCAGGAACGCAGCCUGCAAAGCCCGCUGGGCUGACCUCUGCACACCCUCCCGCGGCGCCGUGCCAGGCCUUACUCAUGCUCUGGCAGUGCCAGGACCUCUCUCGGAGGCGGGGCCAACAGUGGCUUCCCGGCCCUGCGCCAGGCCCAGGCCUGCACCCUAAGCACAGCUCCUGGAUCCAGGAACCGCCUCUCUUUACGGCCGGGAGAGGGCGGCCGGAGAGGGCGAGAGCCCCGCCCAGGGUCACCCACCAAGCCAAGGAACCAGUGGGCAGCAUAAGGAGCAGCCAGAACUGGGCGCCAAGCAGCCUGGGUUCGAACCCCCGCGCUGCCCGGUCGCUAGCAGCAAGACCUCGGGAAAGUUACCCAACCACCGCGAGCCUCAGUUUUCCUGUAAGGAAACAGCCGAUCUCCGUGAAUAACUCCCCUUUCCACCUUCCUGGGAUCCCUGGAGGCAAACAGCCAGGGAGGAGGGCAGCCGGCCGGGAAGCGCGGAGUCACCACCGCCUUCUCUUCUCCUGCGCUCGCUCAAGGAGGUGGCCGUGGGGAGGGGUCUGCGCCCCGCGGGAGGCGCCAGGGUGGGCGGCCCGCCUUCUCCGGGCCCCCGACUGUGGGGUGAGGGCGAGAGGCCGCUGGGGGCCGGGAAGGUUCGAGGAGUCCCCAGGAGGUCUCUCCUUGCAGCCCCCGCCCGCCGGCGCCCAUUACACAGACACCGGGGCCGCCGCCUGGGUUCGGCCGCCCCGGGGGGGGGGGCGGGAGGGGGGCGUGUGCGUGUGCGUCUCCACUGGCAACGGCGCGGUCGCCGGGCAACCCGCGCGCCCCAGGCCCGCCGCGCCCCGGGGAGCCCCGAGGGGGAGGAACGGGGAGGGGGAACCCUGCAGCUCAGCUCAGCGCAGCGCGCCCCACCCCCCCGCCCGGGCUGGGGGUGCCUAUGGCAGCGGGGAACCUGCAUAGUCAGCUCCGGAGCCGGAGCCGGGGUGGCCGCUCGCAGGAGCUGCUCGCGGGGGCAGGGCACCUGGGCGGCCACGCGCGGCACAGAGGGAGGCAGGAAACGCAGGCCUCACUGGGACCCUGGCAAGCUCCUUCCUCCCCGGGAAAUCGAGGCAGCAAAGCCUCCAGGCCUCCUCCUGAGGCUAGGUGAGGAGGAGGGGCCGCAGGUGCCAGGGCCUGGUGAGUGGCAGACGAUUGCGCCAGCCGGGUGCUGUGCCCGUGGAGGAGGGAGCAGUGUCAGGGUGUGGGAUCCUGGAUGUCUAAGGUGAGGUCCAACUCCCGGCUGGUCCCUCUGGGGGCAGAGGGCAGCGGCGAGGACCUGCCUCCCAGAGGCCCCCAGGAUCACCCACAGAGCUGGGCAGGGUUGCAUUUUUCCGCUUGGGGUGCCUGCGUUCUAGGGCAACAUCAACCACUUCCUGCACUGGCCUGAUUUGAUGUUUAGUCACCGCUUGAGGCCACACGCUCCAACAGAAAAGCCACAGGAUUCCACAUCUCAAACCCCCAAACCCAAACCCAGAUUGUGGUCGGUGAACAGGAAGACAGCCUGUGCCAGGACCCUGGGAAGAGGGGCAUCUGGGAGCUAGAGGGGUGAAUCACGGUCCACCCCUCUCCUGGACCAGCGGCCGGGUCCAGCUCAGCAGCGCAUCUUGCGCACCUGCAAAUUCAGCUCUUGCUUUCACAGACCCCAACCCAUAUCAUUUCCCCAAGGGCCCGGUCCAGGCACUGGGAAGAGUGCACAGGUUGUGACCGCAGGUGGCAGAGUGCCGGUGCCACCACUCCAUGCUUGGCAGCCUUGGGGCAUGCUGGUCUUCUCUGAGCCUCUCAUCUGGACAUGGGCCGCCCCCCCACCAGGGGUUAGUGAGACUUGUUAGGCCCAUGUAACCCCUCAGUGCGUGUUUGGGGGCCUGACAGUGGCUCAGGAAAGGAUCCACCCUCUGGAACCCCCAGCCUGGCCUCAGAGGAGCUCCAUCGGGCAUUACCACCUCCCAGCUGGAUGACCUUGAGCAGCUGCUCAAAAGCAAUUUUUCAAGAACAAAAAGGUCAGCACGUCCAGGACUAAUCAAUUCUCGGAGAGCUCCUGCCGCCACCGCCGAGGGAGCCGGGGACCGGCGGCCCCGCCUUUCCCGCCAGCCCUCUCCCACCAGCGCCAUCACUUUUAUUGCUCCAUGAUGCCUGUCAUUAGCAGGGUGUUUGAGAUGCCCCACAGUGUUCUUACAACAUAAAACUCGGGCGACUUGCAGAAGGGGGGGCCUGACGCGUUGAUGGCCACUGGCGGCUCCGGACAGUAACAGCCCAGCUGAUGGAUCAGCUGCAAAGGGCGGCCAGGACAACAAGCAUCCAGCCCCUUGUUCAAAAGCUCGGCUGCAAAGAGACACGCUGGAAGAGCUGGGGCCCCACAUGCCUGCUCUCAGCCCUGGCCCUCAGUCCUGCAAAUCCCCCAUCAUUGUGACCUUGGGCACCUGCCCACUGUCACCCCUUCCAAACUUUUCCUCUCAAGGCUGCGCUGGUCCCCACUGCAUCCCUGUUGGGGGGCAGAAUACUCCUUCCUGAGCAUCCCCCCACCCCCCAACACAAUGCCAGGCCCCACCCCCCUCCAACACAGUGAGGCCGUUCCAUAGUGCCAUUCCGGAUGGGAAACUGAGACCCAAUGUCACCAAAGUGGGAAAGAGCAGUUGCAGAUCCAAACAGUUAUGUGACCUGCCUGGGAUGAUACGCAUGAGCUGUGCCCAGUGGGGAACCAGGUCUGCCGUUCCAGGCCCCCAGCUGUCCUUGUCCCAUAUCGUCUUGACGUCUGAUGCCUGUGACAACAGCAGCUAAAAUGCAGCACGCCUUCCAGGGCAGACCCCACACUCAGCACUUGGCGUGGACGCCCGCCCCAUCCCCACGACGACCCUAUUAUGAGGCUUCUUACACCCAUUUUACAGAUGGGGAAACCGACACAGGGCACUACAGUACUGUGCUCGAGCCCACAUGGCUGGAUACACGCGGGGGACUAGACCCCAAAUGUCUGCGUUUUGCUCUUUUAAAAAUGGCUUAGGAUAAGAAAUAUCCAAAAUUGGCAAAUCCACAGGUGCAGAAGGCAGAUUGGUGGUCGCCAGGGGCUGGGGGCGGGGAACAGGGAGAAACUGCUUAAUAGGUAUGGGGUUUCCUUCUGGGCAGUGAGAAUGCUCUGGAACUAGAUAGUGGCGGUGGUUGCACAGCAUCGUGAAUGUACUAAAUGCUACUGAAUCGUUUGCUUUGACGUGGCUAACUUUACGUUCUGUGAACUUCACUUCAAUAAAUUCUUUUUUUUAAAAAUGGCUUAGGUUUUUCUGCCACCUGUUUGGCAAGAGGGUGGGUGACCUGCCCGCUCUGGUGUCCCAGCAAAGCAGCCUGCCUCUGCUCUCCUAGGGGAGGUAUGGCCUCAGGAGAGCCACCUCUCCCAGGAAGCCAUCCUAGCUGAACCCACCUGCUCCGAUGGCCCCUCCCACCACCAC